AGUGAACGCUGGCGGUAGGCCUAACACAUGCAAGUCGAACGGCAGCACAGUAAGAGCUUGCUCUUACGGGUGGCGAGUGGCGGACGGGUGAGGAAUACAUCGGAAUCUACUCUUUCGUGGGGGAUAACGUAGGUGAACUUACGCUAAUACCGCAUACGACCUACGGGUGAAAGCAGGGGAUCUUCUGACCUUGCGCGAUUGAAUGAGCCGAUGUCGGAUUAGCUAGUUGGCGGGGUAAAGGCCCACCCAGGCGCCGAUCCGUAGCUGGUCUGAGAGGAUGGUCAGCCACACUGGAACUGAGACACGGUCAAGAGUCCUAAGGGAGGGAGCAGUGGGGAAUAUUGGACAAUGGGGGGAAGCAUGAUACAGCCAUACCGAGUGGGUGAAAAAGGCGUUCGGGUUGUAAAGACGUUUUGUUGGGAAAGAAAAGCAGUAGGUUAAUACCACGCGGUUGUGACGGUACCGAAAGAAUAAGCACCGGCUAACUACGUG
Molecule: ribosomal RNA, 492 nt
Filed under: uncultured bacterium
Lineage: Bacteria
Description: partial 16S ribosomal RNA
Rfam family: Bacterial small subunit ribosomal RNA
Source: RNAcentral